AUGAAGACAUGGAAAAGGACAUGGAUAAAAGAUUCCGCUUCUAGAGAAAAAGUGGUUGGUGAAAACUUUUGGAAGAACUUUUAUUUACUACCUUGGAGUUGCCCUCGAAAGAGUGAGCCGUAUUUCUUGCGUUAAAAGAACGAAAGUGCAUAGUAGAUGAAAUCUAUUAUGAACUAAGGUGGUACCGCGUAUGAAACGUCCUUAGA
RNAcentral lists this non-coding RNA (206 nucleotides) under Bacillota bacterium. RNAcentral's name for it is "Firmicutes bacterium T-box sequence". It matches the Rfam family "T-box leader". Rfam says of the family: Uncharged tRNA acts as the effector for transcription antitermination of genes in the T-box leader family. T-boxes are found upstream of many aminoacyl-tRNA synthetase genes and some amino acid biosynthetic genes usually in Gram-positive bacteria. The record is from RNAcentral. Lineage: Bacteria; Bacillati; Bacillota.